This 5538-nucleotide long non-coding RNA is filed under the name Canis lupus familiaris (dog). Its description in RNAcentral is "lncRNA (ENSCAFG00030012527.1)". The record is from RNAcentral. Lineage: Eukaryota; Metazoa; Chordata; Mammalia; Carnivora; Canidae.
UCUGACAACAAGAGGGGACGAGCCCAUGGCUGCCGAAGGUUCCAGGUCAGCCCCCAGAGCCCGGUGAAGCCACUCUACCUUCCGCUCGCUCUUCGCGUUAAAUUCAGAGACAGUAACAUCAACAGGCCCUUUAAAAACCAUUUUUGUGGAAGAAAAAUCAUUAUUUCCAAACUUCAAGGACAGAGAUCCUCUAGGAUUCUACCCAGUAUUGAGCUUGCAUUCCUGUUGGACUGCACGUGGAGCACUGCAGGGAGAAGAUUUUUUUUUUUUAAGAUUUUAUUUAUUCAUGAGAAUACACACACACAGAGAGAGAGAGAGAGAGAGGGGCAGAGACACAGGCAGAGGGAGAAGCAGACUCCACACAGGGAACCUGAUGUGGGACUCGAUCCGGGGACUCCAGGAUCACACCCUGGGCCAAAGGCAGGUGCUAAACCGCUGAGCCACCCAGGCUGCCCUGUAAAUUUAUUUAGAGACCGAUUUAGUUGCAAAGACUUCAAUUCCAACCAGAAAGCAAGUGAGAAAUUACUCUUUGUUGAGUAUUCCCCAAUUUUGUAUUGUCUAUUUCAGCAUACUGCGAUACUGUAGGCCACAAGAAGUUUGACUUUCUUGAAAUAUUUUAACAGAUGAUAUGGAUUGCAUGUGUACCACUUAGAAUAAUUAUUAACCCUGACCACUGGGGGUAUUUCCAAAUGUUCAGGUACUUAUGCCACAAAUGAUCAGUUGGGAGAACUUGGGCCAAUUUUGCAACUUCUCUGUGGCUUAAUGCUCAUGUUUAUAAUUGGAAAUGAUGUGUAUAUCAUAAGUUACUGCAAGGUUUGUGUGGCAUUUGCUGUGAUAUACUUAGAAUAAUGCAUAAUGCUUAGUAUUCCAUGAAAAUUAAUUAUCAUUCUGAAAUAUUUAGGCCUUAGACUGAAAAGAUAAUCAAAAACAUUUUUACUAAAUACAAGGAGUUAGUAGUUUUUUUCUUUUGGUUUUAUUGUGUUUCUUUGCAAUCAAUAGCUCAUCAAUCUGAUAAAACACCUUGAAAAUUAGCUGAGCUGUUUGAUCAAUUUUCAGGGAUAUUGGAAGGGAUCAAGAAAUUGAACUAAGUGUUCAAAGUACUUUACAACACUAAGUUUAUUAGUCAGGAGUUCUUUAUUUUGCAAGUGACAGGAUCCUAUAGAGAAAUAUCUUAGGGAAAAGAAACACUCUGAGAAAGAUAAUGUCUGACUGAAAGAAGUGGUGAACAACCUUAGAGCAGAGCAUUCAAAGACAUAGGUGGGUUUCAGACAAAACACACUCAAAUACUGUCAUAAUCCCAUCACUCAUCAUCUUAUCUGCAUUCUUCUCAAAACAUAAAAUUUGUUCCUAUCUGGAAAUUGUUUCGGACCCAUCCACGAAGUAAUUUCACGUUGCACAUGCUAUAAUAUCUACAGGAAGAUCAAGGUUGAUUUCUUGAUCUGACAGUUCUGUAGUUUCUAGAACAAAUGGUCUGUAUUUCCCUUAUCACCUCCUUUGUCUUCUACUUACUCUUCUCUGGUAACCCCUUUCUCCACUUGGCAGGACUCGAUCUCAGCUAAAAUCACCUGACUGCCAAAUCCAAUGAUCCAUAUCCAGUUUGAAUCUAAUUUGACACAGUUUACUUCUUUAGUAACUGUAGCUUCAUUAAGUGUCUUUUCUCUUUUUGUGUACUCAGAAUUGCCUUUCAAACUGUCCUCAAGUCCUCCUUAGUGUUUGUUUUCUCUAGUAAUCAUGCAGGAACUUCUUGAUCUCUCACACUACACUCUAUGGGCAGUUUUGUUAACACACUUCUCAAUGAAUGGUGCCAUUUGCCUUAAAAGGAAACCUCUGAUAUGGCUAUAUUUUGCCUUUCAGAUUUAUUCAGGACCAUAGUAUUUUGAUUAACUUCUGAAUACCUGUUUGAGCUGUUAAUACCCACUGUCUUCCUUUCAUCUGAUUAAUGUUUAUAUGUGUUGUGCUCCUAUAAUGCAAUAGGCAUAUGGGCAUAGAUGCUGCGAGAGAAACAUGCAUUUCUGACAAAGGAGAGGAGUCAUGCCUUAAACGUAUAAUCACAAAAUAUUUCUUUACUGAGCAUAAUAGUGCUAUGAGGGUGUAAGACAUACAGUCUUACACUGGAACAGCAUAAAAAGGUGCCUCAGUGGAUGCCAAGGGAGAAUAUAUGAUCCCUUAAUACAGGAUUGUGGUGCAUGAAUUGGCCUUACUACUUAUAUUUUCAGGUCCUCCUAUCUGUUCAGUGUAUCUUACAUUUGAGACUGUCAUUGCAAGCAAACUUUGAUUAUUGGACACACCUUCAAAAUUCCUUGGAAUUUUAAUUUCUAGAAUUUUUAUAAAAAAGUUCAUGCUAGGAGCAAUCUCUUCUUGCCCACCCUUAACUCUCAUCUCUUUUCUAAUAGUGUCAAUUUUUUUGUAUCUCUUUGAAAAUGCUAUGUUAGGUAAGGCCUUUGUAAUUUCCACAUGUCCUGCCACAUGAUUUCCACUUGAAAAUGCACAGUCAUUUCUCUGAUACUAAUUAAAAAGAAGCCUCAGUUUUGCAUGUUUUCAUAAUAAUCAUGGAUGUCUUAAGGCUGUUAUUUUCCCCUUUGAUUUCCAGUUUUACAAAUGAUUCUGUUAUUUGAAAUUAUUUGUAUAAAAAGUUAAAGGAUGAUUUAUCUGGUGUUUAUUAUAAGCCACUUAAGGAAUUUGCUGUAAUUCUUUAAAAAAUCUUUAUAUCUUAGUACAACAUACAGUAUCUUGAUAAUUCAAAUAUAUUCUUAAUUUAAAUUCUCAUCAAAUAUACUUUACUUAAAUAUUUAAAUAUUUAAUUAUCUUAGGUAAAUAUAUUUAAAUCUCCAAAAGUUAAAGAAGCUAUUAAUUAAUGUUAAUAUACCAAGAAUAUUAUUUUCUAGAGUUGAAUUACCAAAGUAAUUUUAAUUUUCACUGAGCUUACAUUUUUGAGAGACUAAUUUCUGUUGAGUUAAACCAUUCCAUUCAAAAUCUAACCUGAUAAAAAAUACAUGUGUGAGUUAGGCAUAACAUGCAAGCCAAUUUAAACUAAGUAAUUUGUUUAUAUAUUAAUGUGAUUUGUGGAGAUCCUUUUUCUUCUCCAGUGGAAAAAUAUACCCCCUCCUGUCUAAGAGAUGAUAGUACAUCCCAUUUCUCUAAUGAGGUGUCUUAUAUUUUGCAAUUUCUAGCCAAAUAACAAGGUGAUAUAAUUGUGUCAUAGUAAAAAUAAUGAAGCUCGAUUAAAUAUCUCUCCUAGUUGGAUUCUUUUAUUCUUUUUCUUUGCUUUCAAUUCCCAACAGCUAACCUUAUUUUAAGGAGUUUUGCUCUUUAAUGAUAUCUGUUCAUGAAACUUAACUGUUGGGGCUUAGACUUCCACUAUAAGUUUCUGAGCUGUAUUGCAGCUUAGGGAAUAGUGAGAUAUAGAAAAUAAUGAGACAAAUUAAUUUUCUUUUCCCAGAGGUACUAUAUUCCCCAUAGCUAUCACUCAGAGGACAACCUCUUUUCUGAAAGAUUGAUAUAAAAAUAAUUUAUGUCAGGCUAAGAGGCAGAGCAAAUCUAUCUGCCUGGAAAAGCACAUAAAUGCCUUUAAGAAAAGAGUAGUAGCUUGUGGAGACAGUGCUUCUUGGUAAUUAGGGGUGUUUAUUAUCCUUGUCAGGCUUUAACAAUCAAUUCUGGAUUUAUAUAAUGAAAAGGAUUUCAACAUUUAAUAUAUAACUAUACCAUCCAGGUCCCUCUAUAAUUUAGCUUCAAAUAAUUUAGGAGUUGUAGAUUAAUAGAAGUUUUUUUUUUUUUUUUAUGGCUUAAAAUGCUGCAGUGGUGAUGAGAAAAUACUGAAAAUGAACAUCUUACUGAGUUAAAGUUAGUAAUGGAAUCCUAGACUUUGAAGAGCCAGCUGAGGUCCUUCACUUCCUUGCUUUUAACAAAAAGACUAAUGUCACUAAACCAAACCAUCAGAAAUUAUAACUUUGUUGUAAAUAUCUUUGACAACAUAUUUUAUAUAUUUUUGCAGUAUAAGUAUAUAGAUGUAUAAAUACCUCAUUCUAAUGUACUUUGUGGCCUGUGGUUUUAAGGAAUAUAUAUCCAAGAGGAAUACCACUAAAGGGAAAGUAUCCAUAUUAGAGAAUUCCAAUGGAAAUAAAGAGAGCUUUUUGUGAAGUAAAUAAAUUCAUUUAUUUUUUUUCCAAGUUGAAAUAACUUCAAAUAGGACACCUGGCGUACUUGGAUAUAAAAUCAUUGCAUCAAGAUGUUUGGGUUAUUCUAUAGUACUAUAUUGUAAGCAAUAGUAUUAACUCUUAUGCACUGAGCCAGAAGGGUGUGUUCACUCAUUAUCUCUUAUUUUUUGUAAGUGUCCAAACUAUAAAUCUGAAAAUGUGAGUACCUACAGCAUAGCUCCUUAUUGAAACACUGUUGAAAGUUUCUCUUUUUCUUAUAUUGAUAAUCGUAUUUUCAUGGAGGUAUAGGCACAGAGGACUGGUUUUGGUUAUAAACUUCACACUAUAUUAUUUCACCUUUUUAAAAGACACCCUAAUGCACUUGUUUCAAUUGUCUAGCUCUUAAUUUAUCACCAGAUUAACAGCAUGUUCUUAACUGGAAUCAUUCAGCCUUGUAUAGCAAAAGAAAUCUGUUUAUAUGUAUAUAUAAACUUAUAUAAUUUUUUUCUGUUUAGUUGGAGGGGAGGGAGCAGCCCUCAUUUGAAAAAAUCCUCAUGGUCUUUGGAAGGAGUGCAAGCUGGGAAUUAAAUAUUGAAUUUCAAAGUCUGCUCUCAACCACUAUAGUCUUCUAGAAUAUUUGCUCAAUUUAACAUUUCUGAGACAUUUAUUUCCUAAGAAUGCAGGGUAUUUUUAGUGAAUCUUGAAAUCCUUUUAAAGUCCAAACUCCAAAACUAUUGAGUGUUUACAUGUAUAUGACUAAAUAUUAUUAAAAUUCAUUAAAAUGGAACCAAAGCUACUUGUACAUGAAUCUAUCUCCAGUUUUUAGAUCCCUUCCGGAUACAAGUAUUUUCUAUGAUAAGCACUUCCAUCAAUAUUCCCUGACAGUUAUAUUUUACACAAAUUGGAAAAACCAGAUAUCUGUCUUAUCUCUAGUAACUAGCACAUUAUUAACCUUUCUUAUUAUUCAAUAAAAAUAUCAGUCUAAAAAUACAGCAGCAGUCCCCCACAUAGCCAUGCUUCUUAAGACAAUAUACUGAGGGGGCACUUGGGUAGCUCAGCAGUUGAGCGUGUCUGCCUUUGGCUCAGGUUGUGAUCCCAGGGUCCUGGGAUCGAGUCCUGCAUCAGGCUGCCUGCAGGAAGCCCUCUUCUCCCUCUGCCUGUGUCUCUGCUUCUCUCCCGGUGUCUCUCAUAAGUAAAUAAAUAAAGUCUUUAAAAAAAAAAAAAAGGCAAUAUACAAAGAAGAGAAUAAUAGACAUCACAAUUGUGUAUACAUAUGCUUAUACAUAAGCAUACUGUAUUAACAAAACCCAAAAAGCAAAAGUGCAUAUUUAAGAAAAGACUAGUUGAUUUGGAAAAAAAUUCUGAUGUUAUAUUAUUAUUAUUAUUAUUAUUAUUAUUAUAUAUU